Molecule: long non-coding RNA, 471 nt
Filed under: Citrus x clementina
Lineage: Eukaryota; Viridiplantae; Streptophyta; Magnoliopsida; Sapindales; Rutaceae
Description: Citrus clementina (C. clementina) long non-coding RNA (CCLE_LNC004856)
Source: RNAcentral
AGGGAGGCACCUCACAAAGUCUCGCGCCAUUCCGAGUCCGGCGGAUGAAGUUGGCCAGCCCCACCCCCCAAGGCUAUAGCCCACCCGUUUUUGUGGCCUUUUUGCGCUGGACGAACUUGGCGCCCCGGCCUUCGGGUGGUUAUUUUUGGGCGCGGCUGUGCCCGCGGCCUAUUUUUGGCACACGGAGGCGCCUCGCAAAGUCUCGUGCCAUUCCGAGUCCGGUGGACGAAGUGGGCCAGCUCCACCCCCCAAGGCUAUAGCCCACCCGUUUUUGUGGCCUUUUUCCGCUGGACGAACUUGGCGCCCUGGCCUUCGGGCGGUUAUUUUUGGGCGCGGCUGUACCCGCGGCCUAUUUUUGGCACACGGAGGCACCUCGCAAAGGCCGUGCCAUUCCGAGUCCGGCGGACGAAGUUGGCCAGACCCACCCCCCAAGGCUAUAGCCCACCCGUUUUUGUGGGCUUUUUCCACAGG